This 253-nucleotide ribosomal RNA is filed under the name uncultured bacterium. RNAcentral describes it as "partial 16S ribosomal RNA". It matches the Rfam family "Bacterial small subunit ribosomal RNA", at positions 524 to 776 of the family's 1533-position model. The record is from RNAcentral.
UACGUAGGGCGCAAGCGUUGUCCGGAAUUAUUGGGCGUAAAGAGCUCGUAGGCGGUUUGUCGCGUCGGAUGUGAAAGCCCGGGGCUUAACCCCGGGUCUGCAUUCGAUACGGGCAGACUGGAGUGUGGUAGGGGAGAUCGGAAUUCCUGGUGUAGCGGUGAAAUGCGCAGAUAUCAGGAGGAACACCGGUGGCGAAGGCGGAUCUCUGGGACGGUACUGACGCUGAGACGCGAAAGCGUGGGGAGCGAACAGG